RNAcentral lists this transfer RNA (82 nucleotides) under Sanguibacteroides justesenii. It matches the Rfam family "tRNA". From Rfam's summary of the family: Transfer RNA (tRNA) molecules are approximately 80 nucleotides in length. Their secondary structure includes four short double-helical elements and three loops (D, anti-codon, and T loops). Lineage: Bacteria; Pseudomonadati; Bacteroidota; Bacteroidia; Bacteroidales; Porphyromonadaceae. The record is from Rfam by way of RNAcentral. RNAcentral also lists the same sequence under 1 other name.
GCGGGCGUGGCGAAAUUGGUAGACGCACUAGACUUAGGAUCUAGUGCCGCAAGGCGUGGGGGUUCGAGUCCCUUCGCCCGCA